Molecule: ribosomal RNA, 499 nt
Filed under: uncultured bacterium
Lineage: Bacteria
Description: bacterial SSU rRNA
Rfam family: Bacterial small subunit ribosomal RNA
Source: RNAcentral
UAGUCCACGCCGUAAACGAUGGAUACUAGCUGUUGGGUUUCGGCUCAGUGGCUAAGCGAAAGUGAUAAGUAUCCCACCUGGGGAGUACGUUCGCAAGAAUGAAACUCAAAGGAAUUGACGGGGGCCCGCACAAGCGGUGGAGCAUGUGGUUUAAUUCGAUGAUACGCGAGGAACCUUACCUAGGCUACAAUGUGAGUGACCGCUGCUGAAAGGCAGUUUUCCUUCGGGACACGAAACAAGGUGCUGCAUGGUUGUCGUCAGCUCGUGCCGUGAGGUGUUGGGUUAAGUUCUAUAACGAGCGCAACCCCUGUGGUUAGUUGCCAGCGAGUAAUGUCGGGAACUCUAGCCAGACUGCCGGUGCAAACCGUGAGGAAGGUGGGGAUGACGUCAAAUCAUCACGGCCCUUACGUCCUGGGCCACACACGUGCUACAAUGGUAGGGACAGAGAGCAGCCACUUAGCGAUAAGGAGCGAAUCUAUAAACCCUAUCUCAGUUCGGA